This 244-nucleotide long non-coding RNA is filed under the name Vulpes vulpes (red fox). RNAcentral describes it as "lncRNA (ENSVVUG00000022138.1)". The record is from RNAcentral. Lineage: Eukaryota; Metazoa; Chordata; Mammalia; Carnivora; Canidae.
CAGAAAUUUUUUUUAAAACUGGUUUCAAAGAAACUAAGAAACAAUUGGAGACUAUUCAUAUAACAAAUAAAAAUGUCAUUUUCUUUUUACAGGUCUCCAAAUGGAAAAAUACAGUUCUGUUUUUCCCUUUCGUGAAACUGGCCCAAAGUGUGAACAAACAAGCCACGACCAGGCUGACAGAUUGGAAACUGAAGUACAGGGAGGUUACUUUUCCAGUGCCACUCAACGAUUCUGGGUCCUCUAA